AGACGAACCGGACAAACGUUAUUCGGAAUUACUGGGCUUAAAGGGUGCGUAGGCGGCACGACAGGUGGGAUGUGAAAUCCCCCGGCUUAACCGGGGAACUGCGUUCCAAACCGUCGAGCUUGAGAGAGACAGAGGUGAGCGGAACUUGCAGUGGAGCGGUGAAAUGCGUUGAUAUUGCAAGGAACACCAGUGGCGAAGGCGGCUCACUGGGUCUCUUCUGACGCUGAGGCACGAAAGCUAGGGGAGCGAACGGGAUUAGAUACCCCAGUAGUCC
RNAcentral lists this ribosomal RNA (274 nucleotides) under uncultured bacterium. Its description in RNAcentral is "partial 16S ribosomal RNA". It matches the Rfam family "Bacterial small subunit ribosomal RNA", at positions 523 to 796 of the family's 1533-position model. The record is from RNAcentral.